This 425-nucleotide ribosomal RNA is filed under the name uncultured bacterium. RNAcentral's name for it is "partial 16S ribosomal RNA". It matches the Rfam family "Bacterial small subunit ribosomal RNA", at positions 354 to 796 of the family's 1533-position model. The record is from RNAcentral.
GUGGGGAAUAUUGGGCAAUGGGGGAAACCCUGACCCAGCAACGCCGCGUGAAGGAAGAAGGUUUUCGGAUCGUAAACUUCUAUCCUUGGUGAAGAUAAUGACGGUAGCCAAGAAGGAAGCCCCGGCUAACUACGUGCCAGCAGCCGCGGUAAUACGUAGGGGGCAAGCGUUGUCCGGAAUGAUUGGGCGUAAAGGGCGCGUAGGCGGCAUGGUAAGUCUGGAGUGAAAGUCCUGCUUUUAAGGUGGGAAUUGCUUUGGUUACUGUCGGGGUUGAUUGCAGGAGAGGUAAGUGGAAUUCCCGGUGUAGCGGUGAAAUGCGUAGAGAUCGGGAGGAACACCAGUGGCGAAGGCGACUUACUGGACUGUAACUGACGCUGAGGCGCGAAAGUGUGGGGAGCAAACAGGAUUAGAAACCCGUGUAGUCC